This is a long non-coding RNA of Gymnodraco acuticeps, 1335 nucleotides long. RefSeq lists it as uncharacterized. The record is from RefSeq and is a predicted model, not a curated record. NCBI's taxonomy places the organism in Eukaryota, Metazoa, Chordata, Actinopteri, Perciformes, Bathydraconidae. The transcript is spliced from 4 exons.
AUGAGGAAGAACUGAUCAUUCAAAUGUUGUAGUACAAGUAGUAAUGUAGUUAGUGCAUAAAUUACUAUUGCAACAAAUGUGUUAAUUUUCUGAAGUCGAUUUUCUUUGGACGAAUGCUCUGGGCCAGUGGUUACAAUGGUGGGGCCAGUGAUAAUACAAUUCCACCGGCCUGGAGGGCCAGUGGCAUUUUACCCUUAAUGUCUACCCCUGUAAUGCAUGGGUGUUUAACAUUUUAAAAAAGGAUCAAGGUUUAUUUUAGAUUAACACUAAAGUGGUUACAGUAAAGUUGGUAACUCUUAUAUCUAUACUCUGAUUGUCAUUUUUUGUUUAAUAUUUGUGUUUGUUUCAGUUACAUGUGGAGGUGUAAAGACUGUGCUGCAGAGGAAGAUUUCAUUCUUACAAUGCUUUGACAAAAAAUCAUCAGGAAGUGGAAGCAGAGUUUGCUCGCAUCACCACUGUCCCACUGAGAUCUAAGUUCAUGCAGCAGCUAGAUCACCACUCCUCCAAGCUGUUAAGGAUUUUCCAGAAAAAAGGGGGUGCCGCUGGGCAGAAAAUAAGGAAUAUCAUGGCAGAAUACGACAAGAAUGACGCCAUCGAGACUGUUACGAUCUCAGGCACUUAGGAUGUUGGACCCAAUUGCAGACAGGGAGACAGAGGAUGUUGUGACUGACCAGAGUGUAGAUGAGAUGGUCUUGGGAAUCUUCGCCAUAAAGAAGGAAGGUGCAGAGCCAACAGAUUCCCUCGCAGAUGUGGGGAUUGUAAUUGAAGGUGUGGAAGUGCUGAACGAUCUUCAAAACAUUGCGAACGCAUUGGCAAUUUUAUUUGGACUCACAUAUGCAUUGGACUUGAGCUAUUUUUUUUUUUAGAUGCACGUUUGAGGUUCUUCAAAAAAUCCUGAUGGAAAUGGAAGUUCGCCACCUGUCAACAAAGGCUCAAGUGCUGAAAAACAAACUGUUUGAAUGAACUAUUUGAACACUACAAGUGGAACGCCUUGAAACGGCACGUUGGAAAUCUUGGAGCAGAGGUUUUAUCCAAAUAUUUCAGAGGGAAUUUUAUAUAUGGAAUGUUACUGAAUAGUAAUGUUACAAAUUAUUAAUGUCGGACAGUUUGUACGUACAAGUUGCAGUUUGGGCUAUGUGGUUCAAACAUGUUGCUCUUUUGAACAUUUUUGUUGCUAGCUAAAUGUUGUGCAACUUCAACCUUUUGUGUUUGUUGAUAAGGCGUGAUACAAAGAAGUCUUUAUGGGUUUCCAUGAUUUUAAACUUGGUAAACCUGGUUGCCUAUGGUUAUAUCGCAUUUCAUGUGAAAUAAAUGUAUUUUUUUCACUGAACAAAA